GAUGAACGCUGGCGGCGUGCCUAACACAUGCAAGUCGAACGGAAAGGCCUGCUUUUCUUUGUGGAUUGCGGGUACUCGAGUGACGAACGGGUGAGUAACUCGCGAGUGAUCUGCCCCCAGCUUGGGUAUAAGCCUGGGAAACUGGGUCUAAUUCCCGAUAGGACUGCAGGGUGGUGCCUGCGGUGGUAAACGAUAUUUUAGUGGUUGGGGAUGAGCGCUUGUCGUGACAGAUUGUUGGUGGGGUAAUGGCCUACCACGGCGGCGACGGGUAACCCGCGUGUGAGGAUGAACGGCGACAUUGAAACUGGGAUAAGACCCAUACGAGUGCGGGAAGCAGCAGUGAAGAAUAAAGCACAGUGAGCGGAAGCAUGAUGCAGCGAGGCUGAGUGGAGGAUCACGGCAUUCGGGUUGUAAACUCCUUUCGACCGCGAGGAAGCAACCUGGAUGGAAGGGUGGUGACGGUAGUGAUAGAAGAAGCACCGGCUAACUACGUG
RNAcentral lists this ribosomal RNA (494 nucleotides) under uncultured bacterium. Its description in RNAcentral is "partial 16S ribosomal RNA". It matches the Rfam family "Bacterial small subunit ribosomal RNA", at positions 28 to 507 of the family's 1533-position model. The record is from RNAcentral.